This 29-nucleotide small RNA is filed under the name Bombyx mori (domestic silkworm). Its description in RNAcentral is "ovarian small RNA-4048". The record is from RNAcentral. Lineage: Eukaryota; Metazoa; Arthropoda; Insecta; Lepidoptera; Bombycidae.
UUCGUAAUUCUUUAAUAGUUUUCGGCUGC